This is an RNA transcript of Eriocheir sinensis (Chinese mitten crab), 4439 nucleotides long. It is a transcript of the gene named glutamate receptor ionotropic, NMDA 2B-like, with no coding region annotated. The transcript has 20 exons. The record is from RefSeq and is a predicted model, not a curated record. NCBI's taxonomy places the organism in Eukaryota, Metazoa, Arthropoda, Malacostraca, Decapoda, Varunidae.
GCAGCGAGGGGAAGCGGGCAGGAUGCGGAGGGUGGCCGUGGUGGUGUGCCUCGUGUCUGUGGCCGCCACGCUCACACUCCCCCCCACCGGCAGCCACUACCCCCGCAGACAGGGCUCUGAACACAAGACUCCGCCCUGGCAGAGGCAGCGGCCCACACACCAGGUCAGAAAACCUUCCCUGCAGGAGGUUCCGAGGGAGGGGCAGCAACAGCAACAGCAGCAUCACAACAAGAACAGCCUCUCCGUGGGGGUCGUGUUGCCUAGCUCGUCUUUCCACGUGCGGAAGUACAACAGGGCGCUCAAGGACUCGAUCAUCACCAUGCAGCGGGACCCAAGCCUCCAGCGGAUCUUCCAGCACUACCACUUCACCUUCGACGAGGUUAUUCUGGCGACCAUGCUGCCCUCCUCAAGCCCAACCCGGAUUCUGGAGACACUCUGCGACAAAUUCCUGCCCAAGAACGUGUCGGCCAUCCUGUACCUGUUCAACUCGGAGACCUACGGGCGCUCCACGGCCUCGGUGCAGUACUUCUUCCAGCUGGCCGGCUACCUGGGCAUCCCCGUCAUCGCCUGGAAUGCAGACAACUCAGGCCUCGAACGGCGCACCUCCAGCCCACAGCUCCAGUUAGCGCCGUCUAUCGAGCACCAGGCGGCCGCUAUGCUUUCUAUCCUUCAGCGGUACUCGUGGCCGAAGUUCGCAGUGGUCACCUCCCUCAUCGCGGGGCAUAACGACUUCAUCCAGGCCCUUCGCGACCUCAUCCUGGAGCUCCCCGCCAAGAGGUCCGGGCAGGAGUUCACCAUGACCAACACCGUACGCGUGAGUGACCCCGAUACGGACCUGGGCAUCUUGGUGAGCUCGGAGGCGCGCAUCCUCUUUCUCUAUUCCACCCGCUCCGAGGCCGCCGCUAUCAUGCACAGCGCCGGGCAACUCGGACUCACAGGCACCAAUUACCUGUGGAUCGUCACCCAGAGUGUCAUCCAGAGCAACGCGGACGCUCCAGGAGAGUUCCCCGUCGGCAUGCUCGGCGUGCACUUCGAGACCACGGAGGUCGCGCUCAUUGAGGAGAUCGAGAACGCCAUGCUGGUCUUCGGCUGGGGGCUGCACGGUCACCUACAGGACGAGACCAGUCGGGACGUGGUGCCCAGCCUGGCGCCGGCACUCUCCUGCGACACCGGGGACGCCAGGUGGAGAGGAGGCGACAAGUUCUACAGGUUCCUCAAGAAUGUGAGCAUCGACAGGGACAGCCAACCCGGCACGCCCAAGCUGGAGUUCAACAGCGACGGGACGAGGCACGCGGUCACCCUCAGGAUCAUGAACCUUCGCCCAGACGUCUCACGGAAACUCACGUGGGAGGAGAUCGGGGUGUGGCGCUCCGGGAAGGACCAGACGGGAACGCUCGAGGUGAAGGACAUCGUGUGGCCCGGCUAUUCCCACGUCCCUCCCAAUGGUAUCCCUGAGAAGUUUCACCUCAAGAUCACCUUCAUGGAGGAGCCGCCCUUCAUCAACAUGGACCCGCCACACCCUGAGACGGGCAUGUGCACCGCUAACAAGGGCGUCCACUGCAGGAUUGCUUCGGACGAGAUGAUGCAGGGGGUCAACAUCAGCUGGGCCAUGAGGAACUCCAGCUACUUCCGCUGUUGCUCGGGAUUCUGCAUUGACCUCCUCGUGAAGUUCUCGCAGGACCUCGGCUUCUCCUACGACUUCUUCAGGGUGGAGGACGGCUUCUGGGGCGCUAUUGUGAACGGGAAGUGGACGGGCCUGCCGGGGGCCAUCAUCAACGGGAAGGCGGACAUGAUCAUGACCUCCAUCAAGAUCAACUCGGAGCGGGAGGAGGUGCUGGACUUCACGGUGCCCUUCCUCGACACCGGCAUAGCGAUCGUGGUGGCCAAGAGGACGGGUAUCAUCUCCCCCACGGCCUUCCUCGAGCCCUUCGACACCGCCUCCUGGAUGUUGGUAGCGCUGGUGGCGAUACAAGUGGCGGCCGUGUCCAUCUUCCUGUUCGAGUGGCUCAGUCCCUCCGGCUACAACAUGAAGCUCCAGCCCGCCCCCAGCCAUCGCUUCUCCCUGUGCCGGACGCUGUGGAUGGUGUGGGCCAUACUCUUCCAGGCGGCCGUCAACGUGGACUGUCCCCGCGGCUACACUGCCAGGUUUAUGGGCAACGUGUGGGCCAUGUUCGCGCUCAUCUUCCUGGCCAUUUACACUGCCAACCUCGCGGCCUUCAUGAUCACCCGCGAGGAGUUCUACGACCUCUCAGGCAUCGAGGACAAGAGGCUCCAGAACCCAACCUCCAUGAAGCCGCCGUUCAAGUUCGCCACGACGCUGCACGGGAACACGGACGUCCUCAUGAAGAAGUCGUUCCCGGUGAUGCACGCCUACAUGCGACAGUUCAACCAGAGCAGCCCCGUCGAGGGUGUGAAGGCCGUCAAGAAGGGGAAGCUGGACGCCUUCCUGUACGACGCUACGGUGAUGGAGUACCUGGUGGGGCAGGACGACGAGUGCCGCCUCCUCACCGUGGGCUCCUGGUACGCCCUCACCGGCUACGGCGUCGCCUUCGCCAGGAAGUCCAAGUACCUCGAGAUGUUCAACGAGCAGAUCAUGAAGUACAGAGAAAACGGUGACCUCGAGAGGAUAGCAAGGUUCUGGUUCACGGGGGCAUGUCGGCCGAACAAACAACACAAGUCCUCGAGCAAACCCUUGGCGCUGGAGCAGUUCAUGUCGACCUUCCUCCUGCUGGGCUGUGGCAUCCUCCUGGCGCUGCUGCUGCUGGGCUUCGAACACAUCUACUUCAAGUAUUUCCGGCAGUACGUGGCCAAGUCGGAGAAGGGCAGCUGUUGCUCUCUCUUAAGUAUGAGCAUGGGCAAGUCCCUGAGCCUGCGGGGGGCGGUGCAGGAGGCCCAGGACGUGCUCAGGACCCACCGCUGCCAGGACCCGCUGUGCGACACUCACCUGUGGCGCGUCAAGCACGAGCUGGACAUGGCGCGGCUGCGAAUUCACCACCUGGAGCGGCAGAUGGUCACCCACGGCCUCAGACCCCCCGCCAACAAGCCUGGCAGUGCUGAGCGAGCAGCGGCGGAGCCUCCCACAGACACAGCGCAAGAGAUUGAGGGUGCGGAGAGUGCGCGUGUGUGUCAACAGUGUCUCCUUGCAGGGACGGCUCCUCCCCGGCGGCGCCUGACGCCGGCAAACAGAGAGAGGUGACGCGAAACCACGUCAUCGCCAAUGAGCCCAUUAGAGGACCGCUCCUCGCCGCCAGCGGCAGCACGAGACUCAGGCGGCGGGAGGUGGCCGAGUUGGAGACAGUCCUCUGAGGCCUACACGCGGCAUGACUGGAACUAACCUAACUUAACCUGGCCUGGCGUGGGGCUGCCUCAUGCUACAGGUUCAGGCCUUGAAGGGGAAGAAGCUACACUGAGAGGUGGUGACCCUGAGGUGAUGACCCUGAGGUGAUGACCCUGAGGUGAUGACCCUGAGUCCCGGAUUGCAGAGGGAGGUGAUUGAUGCUUGAUGAUGACGAUGACCAACCAAGGAAACAAGGAAGCAAGGAAUCAAGGAAGCAGACCGAAGUUGCUCAAUGACGUGUGCUGACUAAGAGGUUGCAUGUUACCCAAGACCAUCUCGAUAGUUUUUAAGAGGGCAGGAGGUUUUUAUGGAUAGAUGCUACUGUACGAUGUCGACUAUUCCCUUCACACCUUCCCCUCCCUAUCCCCAACCUCUACCCCCUGCCCCUCCCACACCCGCCUACCCCCCCACCCCCCCCCACCCACCCCCGACACACACACACACGGCAGCACAGGUAUCAAAAGUGAGUCAGGUAUCCUUCUCAUUAGCUGCUAAUUAUUCUUGCUGAUUUGAUUUCUCACCUGAGGACUAAACGUUGGCUGGAAUGGAAAUGUUGGUACGAGAAAGCAAGGACUAAACGUUGGCUGGAAUGGAAAUGUUGGUACGAGAAAGUAAAAAGAAGAAUGUGAGGAAGUGAAUUGCUUGAAAUGGAAUUGCUAGUAUACGAGAAAGGAAGAGAUAGAUGUGAAGUAAAUUGGUUGAAAUGGACUUGUUUGUCAGAGGAAGGAUGUGAAGAAGAUGUAGGAGUUGGCUGAUGAGGAAUUGUUUGUACGAGAAAAAAAAAGUAAGGAUAUGAGAAAGAUGUAGAAGUUGACUGAAGUGGAACGGUUUGUACGAGAAAGGAAAGAAAAGGACAUGAGAAAAAAUAGAAGGAAGAAGGAACCAAAUACGAAGGAAUGGAAUGAAGAACACGGGAGAAAGCUACGAAGGAAGAAAAGGAGGAAAGGACUGAUGUGCAAUGAUAGAAGACAUUUUAAGAUGGUAUGCCUAGAAAUCAAAAAUACAAUACCUUCGAAUAUAACUAAACAACAACAAAGAAAAAAACACGAACACCUCUAAUCUACCACAAAAAAAAAAGAUCCUUCAAAAAGAAAUUGGCAAA